UAGCGUAGGGGGCAAGCGUUGUCCGGAUUCAUUGGGCGUAAAGAGCGUGUAGGCGGCCAGAUAGGUCAGCUGUGAAAACUCGAGGCUCAACCUCGAGACGUCGGUUGAAACCAUCUGGCUAGAGUCCGGAAGAGGAGUGUGGAAUUCCCGGUGUAGCGGUGAAAUGCGCAGAUAUCGGGAAGAACACCCGUGGCGAAGGCGGCACUCUGGGACGGUACUGACGCUGAGACGCGAAAGCGUGGGGAGCGAACAGG
Molecule: ribosomal RNA, 254 nt
Filed under: uncultured bacterium
Lineage: Bacteria
Description: partial 16S ribosomal RNA
Rfam family: Bacterial small subunit ribosomal RNA
Source: RNAcentral